GAAAUGCGAUACGUAAUGUGAAUUGCAAAUUCAGUGAAUCAUCGAGUCUUUGAACGCACAUUGCGCCCCCUGGUAUUCCGGGGGGCAUGCCUGUCCGAGCGUCAUUUCUGCCCUCAAGCACGGCUUGUGUGUUGGGCCCCGUCCUCCGAUCCCGGGGGACGGGCCCGAAAGGCAGCGGCGGCACCGCGUCCGGUCCUCGAGCGUAUGGGGCUUUGUCACCCGCUCUGUAGGCCCGGCCGGCGCUUGCCGAUCAACCCAAAUUUUUAUCCAGGUUGACCUCGGAUCAGGUAGGGAUACCCGCUGAACUUAAGC
Molecule: unclassified non-coding RNA, 312 nt
Filed under: plant metagenome
Description: partial contains 5.8S ribosomal RNA, internal transcribed spacer 2, and large subunit ribosomal RNA
Rfam family: 5.8S ribosomal RNA (bases 1-104)
Source: RNAcentral